RNAcentral lists this ribosomal RNA (478 nucleotides) under uncultured bacterium. RNAcentral's name for it is "partial 16S ribosomal RNA". It matches the Rfam family "Bacterial small subunit ribosomal RNA", at positions 28 to 507 of the family's 1533-position model. The record is from RNAcentral.
GAUGAACGCUGGCGGCGUGCCUAACACAUGCAAGUCGAACGGAGUCCAGCCUUUAAGACCUUCGGGUCAAAGAGGGGAAGACUGAGUGGCGGACGGGUGAGUAACACGUGGGCAACCUGGCUCAUAGAGGGGGAUAACAGAGAGAAAUUUCUGCUAAUACCGCAUAAGCUCACACUGCCGCAUGGCAGAGGGUGAAAAGAGAAUCGCUAUGAGAUGGACCCGCGUCUGAUUAGCCAGUUGGCAGGGUAAGAGCCUACCAAAGCGACGAUCAGUAGCCGAUCUGAGAGGAUGAACGGCCACAUUGGGACUGAGACACGGCCCAAACUCCUACGGGAGGCAGCAGUGGGGGAUAUUGCACAAUGGGGGGAACCCUGAUGCAGCGACGCCGCGUGAGUGAAGAAGUAUUUCGGUAUGUAAAGCUCUAUCAGCAGGGAAGAUAAUGACAGUACCUGAAGAAGAAGCCCCGGCUAACUACGUG